RNAcentral lists this ribosomal RNA (552 nucleotides) under Psora decipiens. Its description in RNAcentral is "eukaryotic LSU rRNA". The stretch from base 198 to 351 matches the Rfam family "5.8S ribosomal RNA". Lineage: Eukaryota; Fungi; Ascomycota; Lecanoromycetes; Lecanorales; Psoraceae. The record is from RNAcentral.
AAGGAUCAUUAUAGAGAGGGGGUCUCAGGCCCCCGGGGGGGAUCUCCCCCCCGCCUCUUACACCCGUGAAGAUUUACCUUCCCCGUUGCCUUGACGGGAACCCUUGGGUUUAUAAUCCCUAGAGUCUUCCCGUCAAUCGGCCCCCCCUAAAAAACUCGUUUGCUUCGGUGGUCAGAGUGAUAAAAUCAAUUAAACAAAACUUUCAACAACGGAUCUCUUGGUUCUGGCAUCGAUGAAGAACGCAGCGAAAUGCGAUAACUAAUGUGAAUUGCAGAAUUCAGUGAAUCAUCGAAUCUUUGAACGCACAUUGCGCCCCUCGGUACCCCGGGGGGCAUGCCUGUUCGAGCGUCAUUGCAUCCUUCAAGCUCAGCUUGGUCUUGGGUCUUCGCUCCCUAAAAAGGGCGUACCUCAAAAGUAGUGGCGGUCCCGGAGCGACUUACGAACGAAGUAAAUAUCAUCCGUUCAGAAAGUUCGCUCCCGUGUCCGGCCAUAACCCGAUUUUUUAAUUCAACGGUUGACCUCGGAUCAGGUAGGGAUACCCGCUGAACUUAA